This 466-nucleotide ribosomal RNA is filed under the name uncultured bacterium. RNAcentral's name for it is "partial 16S ribosomal RNA". It matches the Rfam family "Bacterial small subunit ribosomal RNA", at positions 28 to 507 of the family's 1533-position model. The record is from RNAcentral.
GAUGAACGCUGGCGGCGUGCUUAGCACAUGCAAGUCGAACGGAAAGGCCCAAGCUUGCUUGGGUACUCGAGUGGCGAACGGGUGAGUAACACGUGGGUGAUCUGCCCUGCACUUCGGGAUAAGCCUGGGAAACUGGGUCUAAUACCGGAUAGGACCACAUUUUGGAUGGUGUGGUGGAAAGUUUUUCGGUGUGGGAUGAGCUCGCGGCCUAUCAGCUUGUUGGUGGGGUAAUGGCCUACCAAGGCGUCGACGGGUAGCCGGCCUGAGAGGGUGUACGGCCACAUUGGGACUGAGAUACGGCCCAGACUCCUACGGGAGGCAGCAGUGGGGAAGAUUGCACAAUGGGCGCAAGCCUGAUGCAGCGACGCCGCGUGGGGGAUGACGGCCUUCGGGUUGUAAACUCCUUUCGCUAGGGACGAAGCGUUAUGUGACGGUACCUGGAGAAGAAGCACCGGCUAACUACGUG